RNAcentral lists this ribosomal RNA (417 nucleotides) under uncultured Paenibacillaceae bacterium. Its description in RNAcentral is "partial 16S ribosomal RNA". Lineage: Bacteria; Bacillati; Bacillota; Bacilli; Caryophanales; Paenibacillaceae. The record is from RNAcentral.
CACGUAGUUAGCCGGGGGCUUUCUUCUCAGGUACCGUCACUCCGAUAGCAGUUACUCUACCGGACGUUCUUCCCUGGCAACAGAGCUUUACGAUCCGAAAACCUUCAUCACUCACGCGGCGUUGCUCCGUCAGACUUGCGUCCAUUGCGGAAGAUUCCCUACUGCUGCCUCCCGUAGGAGUCUGGGCCGUGUCUCAGUCCCAGUGUGGCCGAUCACCCUCUCAGGUCGGCUACGCAUCGUCGCCUUGGUGAGCCGUUACCUCACCAACUAGCUAAUGCGCCGCAGGCCCAUCCUCAAGUGACAGAUUGCCUUCCGUCUUUCCAAACUUCGUUACGAGGCGAACAAAUCAUGUUAUUCGGUAUUAGCUUACCGUUUCCGGUAGUUCGUACCCAGCUUGAGGGCGAGGUUGCCUACGGU